GUGCCAGCAGCCGCGGUAAUACGUAGGGGGCAAGCGUUGUCCGGAGUUACUGGGCGUAAAGCGCACGCAGGCGGUCUGUUAAGUUUGGAGUGACAGUUGGUGGCUUAACUGCCAAAGUGCUUUGAAAACUGACAGACUUGAGGGCUUCAGAGGGACACGGAAUUCCGGGUGGAGUGGUGAAAUGCGUAGAGAUCCGGAGGAACACCGAAGGCGAAGGCAGUGUCCUGGGGAGUACCUGACGCUCAGGUGCGAAAGCCAGGGGAGCGAACGGGAUUAGAAACCCUCGUAGUCC
Molecule: ribosomal RNA, 292 nt
Filed under: uncultured bacterium
Lineage: Bacteria
Description: partial 16S ribosomal RNA
Rfam family: Bacterial small subunit ribosomal RNA
Source: RNAcentral